Molecule: non-coding RNA, 27 nt
Filed under: Homo sapiens (human)
Lineage: Eukaryota; Metazoa; Chordata; Mammalia; Primates; Hominidae
Source: RNAcentral
UGUGCUCUGAAGACAAACUUUCACUCA